GUGUGUGUGUGCGUGUGCGUGUAUGUGCGUGUGUGCGUGUGUGUACAUGUGCGUGUGUGUGUGCGUGUGUGUACAUGUGUGUGCGUGUCCAGCUGGUUCAUUCAAAAACAGUCAUAUAAACAUUUUCAGAAUUCAGAGUUUUGACACUAGAAGACUUUUAUUCAGAGGACAUUAGCGCUCGAUCCCUUUUGAUUAAUUCAUGAUCAUUUUUCUCAUAUUUAUUUGGUUGACACCGGUUAGCGUAGCGUAGCAUAAAGACGAAGCAGAGGGACGUGGACUUCAUUAUCACCACAUGAGGAGCAGAGGUUCGAUUACAGGAGAGAUUUUAAUUACAGAUGAGAGUGUUUGAAGUGUUAACAGAAUGAGUGCUCACCGCUCUCUCUCUCUCCCUAUUCACUGAGGGGCUCGCUCGCCCUCGUCCUGUGCAGCCGUAUUACCACAUCUGAGAGGACAGACACACGCUCCAUAACCACGAGUGUUUGAAGUGUGUUCACAGCUCUUAGUUACCGAAUACAUCACCCUGUUUCAGUCUUUGCUUUCUGUGGGUCUGAUUGGAUCCCCGUGUGGCGCCUGUGGACCAAUCACAGCGGAGGAAACUGACACUGAACCAAGUGUCAGCAAACAAUAAAUAAGAAACAGUACAAGUUGAAAAGGAAUCAUAACAUGUAACCCUCAGACCAGCCGGUCUCAUUGUCUCGUUGUCCUCGUGGACCAGACCAGCCGGUCUCAUGGUCUCGUUGUCCUCGUGGACCAGACCAGCCGGUCUCAUGGUCUCGUUGUCCUCGUGGACCAGACCAGCAGGUCUUGCUGGUCCUUGUAGUCUUGUUGUGCCGUGGCCCAGAAAGAACAGAAGGUCUCAUUUAGCCUCGCUGUCCCCAUGAGGUCCCGGUUAGUCCAUUCAUGAAGGGUCUCUACAUUGUGGUUCAAGAAGUCUGCUCUGACGGUCAAGAUUCUCAAAGCUGAAGUACAAGAGGACACGGACGGACGUAUGGACAGACGAGAGGCUGCUGCCAUCCAAUGGGCUGUCAGUGCUGCUGCAGGAGGGCGGUCUGCUCCUCCAGCAGCCAAUGAGCUGCGAUCCUGCUGGCGUAGAUCACGUAGGACCAUGACAAGACCACCACAGCCAGCAGCACCUGAGGGACGAUAUUAUACCCUGUUAACGGUAAUACUACAUGGUCAAAAUACUCUGUUACAAGAGUCCUGUAAUCAACAUUACCAAAUUAAAUAUCUUGAGUGUAUCAAAAUAUAUACACGGUAUCAGUAAAAGGUUUGGACACACAUACAUAGGUAGCAUAGAUAGCAUAUACUAGCUGCCCCCUAGCUGCUCACUAGCAGCUCCCUAGCUGCUCACUAGAUGCUCACUAGCUGCUCACUAGCUGCUCCCUAGCUGCUCCCUAGCUGCUCCCUAGAUGCUCACUAGAUGCUCACUAGCUGCUCACUAGAUGCUCACUAGCUGCUCACUAGAUGCUCACUAGAUGCUCACUAGAUGCUCACUAGCUGCUCCCUA
Molecule: long non-coding RNA, 1507 nt
Organism: Gasterosteus aculeatus aculeatus (three-spined stickleback)
Lineage: Eukaryota; Metazoa; Chordata; Actinopteri; Perciformes; Gasterosteidae
Source: Ensembl